UUCUGGCUCAGGAUGAACGCUGGCGGCGUGCUUAACACAUGCAAGUCGAACGAAGCCAAAAGGAAGCUUGCUUCUUGAAGCUUAGUGGCGGACGGGUGAGUAACGCGUGAGUAACCUGCCCUUCAGUGGGGAAUAACACAGAGAAAUCUGUGCUAAUACCGCAUAACGUCUUCUUGCCGCAUGACAGGAAGACCAAAGGAUUUAUUCGCUGAAGGAUGGACUCGCGUCCGAUUAGCUAGUUGGUGAGGUAACGGCCCACCAAGGCGACGAUCGGUAGCCGAACUGAGAGGUUGAUCGGCCACAUUGGGACUGAGACACGGCCCAGACUCCUACGGGAGGCAGCAGUGGGGAAUAUUGGGCAAUGGGCGAAAAAGCCUGACCCAGCAACGCCGCGUGAAGGAAGACGGUCUUCGGAUUGUAAACUUCUUUGAUUGGGGAAGAAACAAAUGACCUACCCAAAGAACAAGUCACGGCUAACUACGUGCCAGCAGCGGC
Molecule: ribosomal RNA, 495 nt
Filed under: uncultured bacterium
Lineage: Bacteria
Description: bacterial SSU rRNA
Rfam family: Bacterial small subunit ribosomal RNA
Source: RNAcentral